Molecule: long non-coding RNA, 4831 nt
Filed under: Homo sapiens (human)
Lineage: Eukaryota; Metazoa; Chordata; Mammalia; Primates; Hominidae
Description: long non-coding RNA NONHSAT186441.1
Source: RNAcentral
CCCAGCCAGCUAUCGUCAUUUUCAUUAGACACCUGGCAGAAGGCAAUGGAAACCUUCCACAGAAAGGCUCCUCCUUCCCCCCAGGGAGACGAGGGUGUGAGAUGCUGCAGAUACAGGGCUUCCAGUUAGAAGCACAAGAUUAUCUGCCCUGUGGUUUGGUCCACUAAGACAAACUGGAAUUUGUGACUCUUUCAUAUAUACGAACUGAUGAAGAGUCAGACCUCAAAGCUUGAGCUCUGGACAAGUGUGUAGAAAGAAACCAAGACUUAGCCAAAAGAAAUCAGACCUCCUUGCACUGAUAGAAUGGACCAAAGCAGGAUGGACCGCACAGGAGAGAAUUGCAGAGCCUAGAGCUGAGGAACACAGGUCAACUGAACUGUGCUCUCAACCACACUGGCCCAGGAAGACCACCACUUCCUCAGGAUGGUGGAGCUGCAGAAAGACACGUACGCGGGCUACAGGUCCUUGAUGCACCCUUGCGAUGCCACCCUGGGACCCCAGGGAAGUCAUACAGCUUGGACAGCAAAGAGAGAACAGCUCCUCAAGUUGUGGGGAGAAUUGGAUGAGACUGCACUGUAUUGGGAGUUUGAGUAAAGGCUCUAACGUAGUCUACUGCUUGUUUGAAGAAAAGGAGAUACUCAGAAGGUCAUCGCAGACAAGCCUGAGAACCACCCGAUCAGAUAGUCCAUGUUUCCCCAGCCACCGAGGAGAAGAAUUACCCUAGGGAACUUACUCAGCACUGAUUCCCAUGCCUCAACCCACAACCACUGAUGAGCAUUUCCAAGGAUGAGGCUGGUCAUGUGAGCAUCUGUCCAAGGGGUUCUUAUCAUCUGGCAGGUUUGAGGAGUGCCGGGCUUGAUUCUGGCUGCAGGAAUGCACAGGUCACUUCCACUGAGAGCCCCUUUACAGGUGACAAGGGUUUUUCACACACCAUGUGACUGACCUUCACACUGUGAGGCAGAAAGGGGAAUGUUCGCCCUCAUUUUCAGAUGGGGAGCCAGGAGCUCAGGGACAUCAGAGGAACUCCGGAAACAACAGUGCUGGGAGCCUUGAGGCUCAGCUUCUGGGUCAUGCUCCCCAUCAGACCUGGCGGGUUUUGCAGUCACUCCUCCACACUUACUUUUUCCUUCACUGUGCAUAUUGGGUCCUGCAAGAACAAUCCCAAGAGAACAGGCCCCGGUCUGGAACAAGGAAUCGGCCAUCAAGAUGGCCGGGGCUCACUGCCGGGAUACAAGUGUCUCAGCUGCACGUAACCCAGGAGGGGCGGUGCUGCCCAGCUGGUCUCCUCUUCUCUAAAGGCAACACAAGCAAAAGGCUUUCUUGGUGCAGACUCUAGUCCUCUGGGUCUAGACUCCUGGGGGCACCCAGAAGGAUUCCCUUUGGCCUUCUGAGCUCAUAACUCCCACCACGUGUGCCAUGUUUCUGUGUUUUGGGUCUCACCAUUUUCAAGCCGAUAGUGGCAAAGACUCUCUGCUUGACUGAACACUAGUCAGCCUUCUAAAACCUCUAGGCCCAUCUGAGCACUUUCUUGUAAAACCCAGUUUGAGCAGAGAACCCACUAAAUCAGUUGGCAAAAAUGCUACACCUUCAAUACCUGAUCGCCCUUGAUAUCUAAUCAGGUUUCUCAUCCUCCACCCCCCCGGGUGCUGUCUGAUCACCCUGGCCUGUUUUCAGCUAGAAUCCUGGUAGGUUGGUUUAGCCAGAAUCCCUUUUAACCCUGAGGAUUUCCCUUAGUGGUUUCCAUCCACUGCCCCCACCGUGCUCCUUGGCUGUAAAUUCCCACUUGCAUAUGUCAUGUUCAGAGUUGAACCUAAUCUCUCCCCAUCUGCAAAACCCCAUUGCCGUGGUCCCAAUGCCUAUCUUGAGGGCUCCUUAUGUGCUUUCACAAGUGUCAUUGAAUAAUUUUUUCUUUAACAAUAGAUGUAACUGCAAAAAAGUUGCAGAAUCUCCUAUCAUAGUGGAGCAAAAGAAAGAAGUGAACACUCCCAAUGAGCCUCCCAGCCCCACUGUCCUCCUUGUGGUCCCCAACGAGUCAUGUGAGGGAUCAGUUGGAUUUGGAGAGCUUGUAAUUCAGCCACUCUUCAGGGAGAGUGCAUCAGACACUAAAUCAAUUACUUCGACACAUGCUCUUGUAGAGCACAAACAUCUCUGACAGGACCACACUUGCUCAGCCCAGGAAACAAGCUACAUGUUUCUAGGGAGUGUGUUAAUCCAGCUGGUUGGUAGGAAUGUGAGUUUCUCCAAACCUACCGCAUGGCCUUGGGCUCUGUAGGGAGGCAGGAGUGAGUAAUGGCAGUGAGGGAGCUGAUCGUAAAAUAAGACCCAUGGCACACUUCAUAUCUGGAAGGAAUUAAAAAUCCAGCUGGGUUGGCAUAGUCACUUUUGAAAACAGUUUGGCAGUUCAUUAAAAAGUUAUGUACAUACUUGUGAUAUAACCCAGUAAUUUCGCUCCUAGGUAUCUAUCCAAGAGAAAUGAAAACAUACAUCCACAAAAAGGUUUCAACAUGGAUGUUCAUAGCAAUGUCAUUCAUAGGAGCCAAAAAGCAGAAAUAACACAAAUGUAGAUAUACUGAUGAAUGGAUAAACAAAAUGGGGUACAUCCCUACGAUGGAAAUUGCUCAACAAUUAAAAAGGAACAAACUACUAAUACAUGCAACAACGUGCUAAAACAUUGUGUUAAGGGAAAGAAGCCAGACAGGCCAGACUACAUGUUGUAUUAUUUCAUUUCAGUGAAAUUCUAGAAAAGGCAAAACUAUGGCAGCAGAAAGCCAUAGAUCCAUGGUUGCCUGGAUGGGGAUGGGAGUGGAGAUUGACUGCAAUUUUGAGAGGUGAUGGAAGUCUUCUAACAGUGGGUUGUGAUGAUGGUUACACAACUGUAACCAUUUACAUUUCCUAAAAGUCAUUGAACUGUAGAUUUUAAAAAGUUAUGUAAGUUAUACCUUAAUGAAGCUGUUCUAAAAAUCUAAUUGAGUAAAGUGUAAUACAACUCACCCAGCAAUUAGCAACACCAUGGAUGUCUUUGGUUUUUAAAGUAUUGCUUGAUUUUGAACCUCACCUUUGUAUUCUCCAGGGCAGAUUACACGUGUCCAGGAGCUUCACGACUGUGUCCAGAAGCUUCACGACUAUGUGUGGAAUCACGAAUGAAUGAGUGUGCCGGCCCGCAUGCUUACGUGGUGCCAGGCACCAUUCUAAACACACACAUGUUAUCACCUCAUUUAAUCCCCAAGGUAAACCUAGGAGGAUGGCAUUUGAUUAUUAUUAUACCCCAGUUGAAGAAACUGGGGACAGAGAAGUUGCUUAGCUUGUCCCAAAGUAUUUCACACUUUGAAUUGGUAAUCCCCACUACUUCAGAAUGUGACUGUGAAGACAGGGCCUCUAAAGAGGUACUUAAGUUAAAAGAAGUUGUUAGAGUGGACCCCAAAACCAAUAUGACUGGGGUCCUUAUAAGAAGAGAUGAGGACACAGACACACACACAGGUUCUCUGGAAAAAACCCACACAAAACCUUUUGUGGUUAAUAAACCACCCCUAUUGUAAAAUGCUUCAGCAACUGUUCCUUUUCCAUCCUUGCCUCAACAGAAGUCUGGCCACGCUCUGAAGGAGGUGCUCCCCAGUAGUUUUCUAGUGUGUCUGGCCAUUCUCCUACACCCCCGAAUCUCUCCUCUUCCUGCUGCCUUGAGCCUGUUACUCCUCCCUCUUUGUAGCCAGUUGCCUACCAGACAUGUCCACUUGGCAUCACAGCUUGAUAUAGACAAACUUCACCAUGAUCCUCAUCUCAAUGAAUGACUCAUCAUCAAGCCAGUUGUCAAAUACAGAACCCAUAUAUGGGGUCUUCAUUCUGUCGCUCAGACUGGAGUGCAGCAGUGCAAUCAUAGCUCACUGCAGCCUCAAACUCAUGGGCUCAAGAGAUUCUCUCACCUCAGCCUCCUGUAGCCCAUUCUUGAUCCCUCUCUCCCCCUUACAUGUAAUCAAUUGCCAAUCCCAUUGGUUCUACUCCCCAGCUGUCUCCAGAAUCUUCUCCCAGUCUCUAGUCAUCCCUAGAAUCACUGCCCUAGUUCAGGGCCCUGUUGCCUUUCUCCCAGUUAGCUAAAACAAUUCUGUAUUUUCUGUCCCUGCCUCCCACUUCCCUCACAAUCUAUUCUCCACACUGGAGCCAAGGACUUCUAAAAUGCAAAUCUGAGAUGUCAUUUCUCUGCUUAAAACAUUUUAAUCACUCCCCAUUGCCCAGAGUAAUAUUCAAAAUCUUUACCACAGCUUAUAAGGUCAUUCAUAAUGGAACAGGGAUAAAAUAAAAUCUGCUGGGUAAGUAUUUACAUUCCUUCUCUCCUGUGAGCCCUCCCACUGCCCUCCACACACAUGAGUACCCUCUAAUGAAGGAGAGUACUGUGAUCUGAGCUUUAAUUUUUCCUUGCUCAGGGCAGUGAGUGAGCUGCCCAGCUGGAAGAAGCCCGGAAUGCCUAGACUGAUUUGCUUCAAAACGAACAAAAGCAAGUUGCUAAAGAACUCACAGACCUGGCUCCCAGUCCCCGAAGUGAAACUAGGUUUGGACCUCUUAGCCACCUAGUAACUGCAGAAGCCUUGCCACAGGGAGCCAUUGGUCCAGGGGCAGUGCCCAGAGAGAGGCAAUGUUCCAAUGGAACCUAUUACCACAAGUAUCAAAAACAAAUCAAAGCCACUGCCUGGAGAGCUUGCAUAAUUAUUUCAGAUGUGAAAGAAGGCAUACGUGUGGAGCUUAAAGUUUUAAAAGACAUAUUUCCUUGAAAAGUAUAUCUAUAUACUCAUCUUAUUAUUAUACUCAUCUCUUGGAAAUAAUAAAAAUAGCUAAAAUUUCU